UCGAAAGCUUCACACGGCAACGUUUGAAGGUCUGUCAAGAGGAAGAGGACUGGGAACAGAUCGAGAAACGACUCGGUUGUGGCCAGGUCGAGGAGCUCAUCGAGGAGGCUCAGGAUGAGCUCACGCUCAUCGGGAAAAUGAUCGGUCCGUACAUUCAAUUCUAUGUGGAUUAUUAUUAUUAUUAUUAUUAUUAUUUAAUAUAUUAGAAUGUGAAUAUUUUAGCUCGUAUUGAAUUAAAAAAUCGAUUUUGAAGAUGGGUUUAGGGGAAAUUUAACAAUUUUUUUGGGGGUUCAAAUAGGUUUUGGGUUAUUUUGUAAGAAAUGUAAUGUAAUUUUUCGGUACAGUGUACACUGGAGAACAGUGUAAUUUGAGCAACGAAUUUAUUUUUAUUUUUUGAUAGGAGCAACGAAGAAUUUGGUCUUGAAAAUCUUAGUAAACAUUUUAGACACUUGUGCAUGAACAUUGUAGGCAUAGCCUGCCUUCCCACUCAUGUUGGUUUGGCUGAUAUUGUCAAUAUAUUCUUGGUUGUUGUGCUUAUGGUAUUGAGGAAGAAUUGAGCUCAUGUUAGCUUAUUUUAGUCUUUUUGAGCCUAAUCCGAGCUUCCAUUGGAUGUUAGCUAACGUCGAUUGGUGUUGACAUGAUUGUAAGAUGUUCGUUUGAGUUUUACAGUUUUUAAUGUUGGAUUUGAGUCGGUCGACAGUGUAAAAACUAAGAAAGUCUUUACCUCUUUGUUGAACUUAUCAACAUUUCGUCCCAAUGAUUCUGUAAGUUUUUUUUUUUAAAAUCAAGCACUGCAAAUGGUUCAGGUGUUCAAUUUGACUAUACUUAAGUGAAUACGAUACUUUCUGUUAGAAAAGUCUCUCACUUUCUUUACAUUUGUCACGAUAGAAAGCUGCGGGAAUAAAUUUCCGCAUUUGACUUGGUUGCUUCAACAUCAGAGAUCUUAGUACUCCCAUUUUUAAGCAUGGGGCUAGUGUCUUCUAUUGCCUUUUAGUUCUUAUCAAGUGACUCAUCCAAAUAGAACUAAUCAGGGAUAUACCACAUUAUUUUAAAUGCUUACCCCGAGCACUUAUCAGUUAGCUCUGCCUGUAUGCUGGAAUGAUAAUGUUUUGUAUCAUUUUAUGCAUAAAAGAGAUCAUAUUUCCUUAGUAGUGACGUGUUUGAAAUUGCUAUGCUAAAUUGCAGAGUGGGAUCCUUGGGGUGUUCCUGAUGACUACGAAUGUGAAGUUAUUGAGAAUGAUGCUCCGGUUCCCAAGCAUGUUCCCCUGCAUCGACCUGGACCUCUGCCUGAGGAAUUCCAUAAGACGCUGGAAGCUGUUACCAAAAAGGAUCCUACUGCAGUCACC
This 1346-nucleotide long non-coding RNA is filed under the name Citrus x clementina. Its description in RNAcentral is "Citrus clementina (C. clementina) long non-coding RNA (CCLE_LNC000613)". The record is from RNAcentral. Lineage: Eukaryota; Viridiplantae; Streptophyta; Magnoliopsida; Sapindales; Rutaceae.